This 1508-nucleotide ribosomal RNA is filed under the name Helicobacter pylori. RNAcentral's name for it is "bacterial SSU rRNA". It matches the Rfam family "Bacterial small subunit ribosomal RNA". Lineage: Bacteria; Pseudomonadati; Campylobacterota; Epsilonproteobacteria; Campylobacterales; Helicobacteraceae. The record is from RNAcentral.
UUUAUGGAGAGUUUGAUCCUGGCUCAGAGUGAACGCUGGCGGCGUGCCUAAUACAUGCAAGUCGAACGAUGAAGCUUCUAGCUUGCUAGAAGUGGAUUAGUGGCGCACGGGUGAGUAACGCAUAGGUCAUGUGCCUCUUAGUUUGGGAUAGCCAUUGGAAACGAUGAUUAAUACCAGAUACUCCCUACGGGGGAAAGAUUUAUCGCUAAGAGAUCAGCCUAUGUCCUAUCAGCUUGUUGGUAAGGUAAUGGCUUACCAAGGCUAUGACGGGUAUCCGGCCUGAGAGGGUGAACGGACACACUGGAACUGAGACACGGUCCAGACUCCUACGGGAGGCAGCAGUAGGGAAUAUUGCUCAAUGGGGGAAACCCUGAAGCAGCAACGCCGCGUGGAGGAUGAAGGUUUUAGGAUUGUAAACUCCUUUUGUUAGAGAAGAUAAUGACGGUAUCUAACGAAUAAGCACCGGCUAACUCCGUGCCAGCAGCCGCGGUAAUACGGAGGGUGCAAGCGUUACUCGGAAUCACUGGGCGUAAAGAGCGCGUAGGCGGGAUAGUCAGUCAGGUGUGAAAUCCUAUGGCUUAACCAUAGAACUGCAUUUGAAACUACUAUUCUAGAGUGUGGGAGAGGUAGGUGGAAUUCUUGGUGUAGGGGUAAAAUCCGUAGAGAUCAAGAGGAAUACUCAUUGCGAAGGCGACCUGCUGGAACAUUACUGACGCUGAUUGCGCGAAAGCGUGGGGAGCAAACAGGAUUAGAUACCCUGGUAGUCCACGCCCUAAACGAUGGAUGCUAGUUGUUGGAGGGCUUAGUCUCUCCAGUAAUGCAGCUAACGCAUUAAGCAUCCCGCCUGGGGAGUACGGUCGCAAGAUUAAAACUCAAAGGAAUAGACGGGGACCCGCACAAGCGGUGGAGCAUGUGGUUUAAUUCGAAGAUACACGAAGAACCUUACCUAGGCUUGACAUUGAGAGAAUCCGCUAGAAAUAGUGGAGUGUCUGGCUUGCUAGACCUUGAAAACAGGUGCUGCACGGCUGUCGUCAGCUCGUGUCGUGAGAUGUUGGGUUAAGUCCCGCAACGAGCGCAACCCCCUUUCUUAGUUGCUAACAGGUCAUGCUGAGAACUCUAAGGAUACUGCCUCCGUAAGGAGGAGGAAGGUGGGGACGACGUCAAGUCAUCAUGGCCCUUACGCCUAGGGCUACACACGUGCUACAAUGGGGUGCACAAAGAGAAGCAAUACUGCGAAGUGGAGCCAAUCUUCAAAACACCUCUCAGUUCGGAUUGUAGGCUGCAACUCGCCUGCAUGAAGCUGGAAUCGCUAGUAAUCGCAAAUCAGCCAUGUUGCGGUGAAUACGUUCCCGGGUCUUGUACUCACCGCCCGUCACACCAUGGGAGUUGUGUUUGCCUUAAGUCAGGAUGCUAAAUUGGCUACUGCCCACGGCACACACAGCGACUGGGGUGAAGUCGUAACAAGGUAACCGUAGGUGAACCUGCGGUUGGAUCACCUCCUUUCUAGA